RNAcentral lists this ribosomal RNA (479 nucleotides) under Dictyocoela berillonum. RNAcentral describes it as "eukaryotic LSU rRNA". It matches the Rfam family "Archaeal large subunit ribosomal RNA", at positions 17 to 660 of the family's 2987-position model. The record is from RNAcentral. Lineage: Eukaryota; Fungi; Microsporidia.
CCUGCGCAAGGGAUCGUUUGGUUCUAUGUGCGAUGAAGGUCGGAGCAGUAUCUGAUAAUGUAGAAUGAUUGUAAUAAUUGUUCUAUGUGACUGAAUUGAACAGUGAUGUUCGGGUACUCCUUUGAAUUAAGCAUAUGAGUAAAGGAAGGAAAAGAAACUAACUAGGAUUCUCUUAUUAGUGGCGAAUGAACAGAGAAUAGCCCAAGUGUAAUCAAUAAUAAAUAAUUAUUGAGAUGUCUAGUAUAUUGACGUGAAAACAAUGGAAAGUGUUGCCGUAGAGAGUUAUAGCCUCGUAGCGUCUAAAUUUAAAAAGGGAGUAGUUGUGCUCGGUAAUGCACAAUGAAUAGGUGGUAGUGUCCAUCUAAGGCUAAAUAUGACAUAGAGACCGAUAGUGAAUAAGUAGAGUGAUCGAAUAUGGAAUAGAUUGAAAAAGUGAAAUUGCGCAGGGACUCGAGUGAUUCGAGACCGUCUUGAAACAC